Long non-coding RNA from Anguilla rostrata (American eel), 1203 nucleotides. RefSeq lists it as uncharacterized. The transcript has 4 exons. Lineage: Eukaryota; Metazoa; Chordata; Actinopteri; Anguilliformes; Anguillidae. The record is from RefSeq and is a predicted model, not a curated record.
UCUUGUACUGACCAUUAAAUACUCAUUCUGGCACAACAGAGCUCCAGAGCAGGUGUGCAAAGUGGAAGAAACUAUGUCCAUGGGCAGGCAAUUAGGGAAUUCCACCCAGAAAUUCUCCAGAGACCUUCUUGAGAUUUUCUUGUGCUAACAUGCUUUACUUGCUAUGAGUUUUGUGUUACGCAUGGAAUAGCUUAGAUAUACAAAUUCCCUUUGCAAAUCACUUAACAUUUCAGUAGAGUACAUGGCAGAUGUGCUGGGCUGUUGAUUUCUACAAUAUCACAGUGACCUUUAUCAGUAAGCCCUUAAUGAUCCAGCUAAACCUAAUGCCUGAAAUCUGCCAUUACAUAAUCAUACAAAUUGUAUUUGGUGAACAUUCUGACAGAGUGGGUGCUCAUAACAGUAAACAGUACUGCAGAAUGCAGAUGAAAGAUACUAUCAAGCAAGUCAUCACCUAGUGAAAAUUUUUGUGGACGGUGAACUGCUGUCUAGGCAUUCAGGGAUUUGCGGUCCGCAGCAGGUCCAGCGAGCCUCCACCUCUGGUCCCACAGAUGGAGGUCUGUUGUCUGUGUCCCUCACAGCCACCUUUCAGCCCGCCAAUCAUUUACAUCUCUUUCACUCGGGCCCACGGCCCCGCCUUCCAUUCAUGGACACAAUGAUGGAAUUACACCCAAGAGACACUCAUCGAAACAUCACUCUGUACGGGAUUAUGUUUAAAAGAUUACAUUAUCCAAAUCACUGAACAGCACUGCUGCUUAGUGAAAUAACAGAUCAUUCAUUAGCAGACCUCUUUUUUUAGAGGAGUACCAACGCUUUGUGUGGUGGCUUCAAUGACGACAUAACAUGAUAAUUAUCGACAUAAAUACUUAUGAAUGCGGUGCUUAUGAAGGUAGAGAAUACUGCUGAUGGAGGAGCUAUAUGGCUCCUGUUAAAGACCAUAGAAUGUGUUAUGCACUUUUAAAGAGCAGCUGAUUGUAUGAUGAAGUUGUGCCUAUAUUUCAGUCUCCAUCCUCAGUCUUACAGGCGUAGGAUGCUGACCGCCCAGUAAAGGGAACAUAAAAGUGCACAGCUCAAGCCAUUGAUAACACUGACAAGAACCCAAACUUUAUAUUUCAAAAAAGACAGCUCCAGGACUGGGUGUAAUUAACAGAAGUACGCUGAAAAAUGUUCAGUGUUAAAUCAACUUUGAUAAGAGUAUUUAUUACU